Molecule: long non-coding RNA, 567 nt
Filed under: Homo sapiens (human)
Lineage: Eukaryota; Metazoa; Chordata; Mammalia; Primates; Hominidae
Description: novel transcript
Source: RNAcentral
GAACUCAGCACCAAAUAACUCCAGGAGAAGCUGCAGUGGGACCCGGAGGCGAAGCAUAUGGAGGUGGAGGACGUGACCCUCAACCGUCGUGCCUGCAGCUUCCGAGUCCUGGUGGUGUCGGCCAAGUUUGAGGGGAAGCUGCUGCUUCAGACACACUGGCGGGUAAAUAUGUGGCUAGCUGGAGGCUCUCGCACAUCCAUGCUUUUGAGCAGAAAACCCUCAUCCCAGAGCAGUGGGCUUGUGAACGGCAGAAAGGAGGGACUGGCAUCUGCACAGCCAUUAAAUUAUAAAUCAGGACCAGAAAAAAGGGAAAAGAAUGAAGCAGAUCCAUGUGUUAUUUUUGGGCAAUGGACAACAAAAUAUACCGUGUAUUAAUAAAUGAAAAAAAGAAGUAGCGAACAGUGUGGAUGGCAGGUUACCAGUAAUGUGAAGAAAAAUGCAGGGAGACAAAUAUGUGCAUAUACUUUGAGAGGCCGAGGCAGUAGAAUCACCUGAGCCCAGGAGUUCAAGAUCAGCUUGGGCAACAUAGUGAGACCAAGUCUCUACAAAAAGUAAAAAUAUAGAAAA